UUACAUUUUAAUGUUAAUGGAGUCUGGAAGCUACAGGUCAUACGAUUGAGUUUACAGGGCUCGUCAGCGGUGUGUAUGUGCUGCUUCUUGUACCAGGCCCUUCCAUGCCUUGGGCGGGUGUUAAAGCACCUCGCCGCUGCCAGGUGGUCUGAAAUAACGCGCCAAGCCAGCGCGGGCAUUACCCUUCCAGGCAGCACCGUUCUGAGUGUACUUGGAUCGUUUCGGAUGUGUUUAUCUCGACGUGAUGUCCUGCCACUCUCCACUGAACCGGCCGUCUGGGAUUUCUAUGCAUGUUGGAACAUUCUGUUGAAAGAAAAAUGUAAAUGCUGCAGUAUUUAUAGUCUUUUGUAAAGAAUAUCCUUCACGUUUGUUCUUUUUGGGAAGUGAUGUUGGACAAGUGCUUGAUAAGCUUGGUUUAGAUAUAUUAUUUGAGACACCAGCACUGAAUAAUAUAUAUAUGUCUGUGUUUAUGUGUGGGUCUUCUAUUAAGUGUACCAUUUAUUGCAGAAAAAAACUAUAUUUAGAUGCUGGCAUGACUAAAUGACAGCAAGAGCAGCAAUGAAGUCUAGAUCACUUUGAAGAGUGAGCAUAAUCUAAGGUCUCAAGUUCAUGUUCGCUGCAAAGCUGUUUGCACGUGGUCGGCUCCCGGGGUCAGAGGUUAUUUAAAUUCCAGCACACUGGUGAAUGUGUGCGUGUAUUCGUUGGCAGACUGCCUUAAGCAGUGCGUAAACAGAGAAGCGUUGCGUAAUCGGUUUCGGUUAUCUUAUGAGCGUACAUCCCAAACAUUUCUGCUAAUUAAGUAUGAGAGGGUUUUUCAUUGCUGUCACAUAUGGGGACCACAUGCACUGCAUUGCUUGGAAUGAGGCUGUUCCUUUGCUUUUAAUUACUGCAGCCAGUGCAUGGAACUGCUUAGUGUUACUGAACGUUAGUAUCGGUCAGGGUUAUAAUGAGGAGUUUACAACGCCUCUUGUACAUGCGGGAACAUGCGACGUUGUAGCCCUGCCGUCGCAUGUCAGUGCGUGUUUGAUGGUUCUUGGCUUUUUCUUCAUUAACGUAAGUGACCGUUAUAGCUUGAUUUAAUUUAUAUUUUUGCCUGUCUGAUGGAAAGCUUUCCGAAAAUGAUUCCACAAGACAAAUAACAGCAUGUAAAUUACGAGCAGAUCAGCUGCUACAUAAUCCUUGAUGGUGUAUGUGAAGGCAUAUGGAUUGUGAAGUGAGAUGGGUUGCAUCUGGUGAUUUGCUGACUCUUGGUGUUGUGUUUGCCUCACCUUCGGUAUUCCUGAUAUUGCGUGCAGGUCUGAAACUUGGCUACCUUGUUGUUAAAUGGGAAUCAUUCCCACUGAUGUCAAAGGGACAUGGAGACGUUUCUCCCAACCUUUUGCAGUCUUGUCAAAGUCUGCCCUCUGCUCUGAUCCAUCAGCUGCUGCCUGCACUGGCUUGAUAAAAUGAUAUCCCCCCAACUCUAAAAGGAACAGACAUUAACAGUGCCUUGGAGAGGGUCACAGAGGGCACUGUAAACCUGGACACAACAAUAACGAAGAUCGGAAUAUUUUAGCAGGUUGUUUUCCGUGCCUGAAGUUGACCUGUGGACUUCAUCCUUAUCGUUUAUUUAUGGCAUCAAGAAAAUCCACGGAAUCCAGGUUGACGGCAAGAUCCAAAGCCAAUUCUAUAUCCUGCCACCGCAGCCAUCUGUAGGCCGUAAUUUCUAAGACCCGUGGACCCAUCUAAUAUAUCUCCUACAAUCCCCUGGCAAAUUUAGCUCUGACAAGCAGGGAGUUCCUUCUGCAUAAUGCUGGCACGGCCUUUGAUUUGCCAGUUUUCUGGAUAAACAAGCGAAAGUGGGGUUAUUUAGACACAUGCUUUGAAACGAAGUCGUAUCUCUCUUCAGGGUGAUCGUCUUCACUGUCAUUCUUAGGUCUGUUAGGCUGUGUUUAUCUAUUUCUGCUCUCUUUUCAAUCAGAAAAGCUUUUUACCGUUACUUCAUUUGGAAAGUGUGGAUGAGAGGUGCUGCAGGGAAUGGGCUAUAAGAACCAGUGACAAACAGCUGAAUGCGAAUUGGACGAGACUGUUUAUCACACAGCAGUGUAAUAAUGUACUGCAGAAGAUUGUAUCAAACUGAUGCGUCCUGGACUUUGUGUGCAAUCUGAAGUAUGAAAAGGUCAAACUAUUAUCUUCUGUUUUUCUUAUAUAAAUAUUACAAGGCAUUUAAGAAUGUUUUAAUUGAGUGUUUUAAAAAAAAUCCUUUCUUAAACUUUAUGGAACUCUUACAUGCAGUUCAUGAGCGUCACUGGUAAGAUAAUUGUAAUCAGUGAUUAGCUUACUGCAGGACGGAGGUUCCUGGAUAUACGUCAUAUAAAGUGCUGAAAUACAGCCUUGUUUCAAAUUUUACCCUAUGUUGCUCUUGCCUUUCAAACAUGGAUGAAACGUCGUAGAUUACCUCUUUCAAUAAAGAAACAACUUGUUUUUACAAGCAUUAGCAUUGUAAGCAUUACCAGUAUUAUAAAUGUAAGGAAUAUUUACUAUGUUUAUGAUUUUACAUUACCGUGCAUAAGCAGGGUAUGAAAUUUAAUCAAAAUUGGGACCUAGCUGUAUUCUACAUAAACAACGUGGACUAAUAAAACAGCCUAUAUAACCUCACUAGUACCUGGUUAUCUGACAUCACAUCACCAUUACUAUUCACUUCCUUUUUCACUGACCAUUUUGCUGAAGAUGUAGCUGUUCACAAGUACAACAAAAUGAUUGUUUCCACGAACUGGACAUUUGGGAUUUGGGAUUUUACACUGGUACACCAGCAGUGAAGUGGCAUAAAUAUUUCAAGUGAGGUUGCAUCUAAUAACAUAUUUAUGAGUUUUGAACAUCGUGGUCACAAGUACACCACACUAUAUAGACAAAAGUAUUGGGACAAGCUUCUUGAUCAUUGAAUUCAGGUGUUUCGUUCAGAUCCACUGCCAUAGGUGUAUAAAAUCAAGCACUUCGCCAUGCAGUCAGGCUCACAAAUAUUUGUGAAAGAUUAGGUCAUUCUGAAGAGCUCAGGGAACUCAAGUGUGGUGCUGUCAUAGGAUGCCACCUUUGCAAUAAGUCAAUUAGUGAAAUUUCUCCUCUGCUAGAUAUUCUACAGUCAACUGUAAGUGGUAUUA
Brienomyrus brachyistius is the source of this 3137-nucleotide long non-coding RNA. RefSeq lists it as uncharacterized. The record is from RefSeq and is a predicted model, not a curated record. The transcript is spliced from 2 exons. Lineage: Eukaryota; Metazoa; Chordata; Actinopteri; Osteoglossiformes; Mormyridae.